UAUUAACCAGAAAACAAAGGAACAAAGCUACAAAAGUUGACAGGGAUUACUGGAGUAUAGUGAAGAGGUGUGAUAUAGAACUAAAGGCACAUUAAUUUCUUUUCUCUCUCUUUUUUUCUGAUGAGUACAGCCUAGCAUGUGCACUUCCAGCAUUGUCAGAGGCUUUACUUGACGAGUAGACCAAAAUGACUCGCUUAUAUUGCCUACUUAU
Juglans microcarpa x Juglans regia is the source of this 211-nucleotide long non-coding RNA. RefSeq lists it as uncharacterized. NCBI's taxonomy places the organism in Eukaryota, Viridiplantae, Streptophyta, Magnoliopsida, Fagales, Juglandaceae. The record is from RefSeq and is a predicted model, not a curated record. The transcript has 2 exons.